AUUGAACGCUGGCGGCAGGCCUAACACAUGCAAGUCGAACGAGUGGCGGACGGGUGAGUAAUGUAUGGGAAACUGCCUGAGGGAGGGGGAUAACUACUGGAAAGGGUAGCUAAUACCGCAUACCAUCGGAUGUGCCUAGAUGGGAUUAGCUAGUAGGUGGGGGAAAGGCUCACAUAGGCGACGAUCCCUAGCUGGUCUGAGAGGAUGACCAGCCACACUGGAACUGAGACACGGUCCAGACUCCUACGGGAGGCAGCAGUGGGGAAUAUUGCACAAUGGGCGAAAGCCUGCUGCAGCCAUGCCGCGUGUAUGAAGAAGGCCUUCGGGUUGUAAAGUACUUUCAGCGGGGAGGCGUUACCCGCAGAAGAAGCACCGGCUAACUCCGUGCCAGCCGCCGCGGUAAUUC
This 406-nucleotide ribosomal RNA is filed under the name uncultured bacterium. RNAcentral's name for it is "partial 16S ribosomal RNA". It matches the Rfam family "Bacterial small subunit ribosomal RNA", at positions 30 to 526 of the family's 1533-position model. The record is from RNAcentral.